AGUGAACGCUGGCGGUAGGCCUAACACAUGCAAGUCGAACGGCAGCACAGUAAGAGCUUGCUCUUACGGGUGGCGAGUGGCGGACGGGUGAGGAAUACAUCGGAAUCUACUUUUUCGUGGGGGAUAACGUAGGGAAACUUACGCUAAUACCGCAUACGACCUACGGGUGAAAGCAGGGGAUCUUCGGACCUUGCGCGAUUGAAUGAGCCGAUGUCGGAUUAGCUAGUUGGCGGGGUAAAGGCCCACCAAGGCGACGAUCCGUAGCUGGUCUGAGAGGAUGAUCAGCCACACUGGAACUGAGACACGGUCCAGACUCCUACGGGAGGCAGCAGUGGGGAAUAUUGGACAAUGGGCGCAAGCCUGAUCCAGCCAUACCGCGUGGGUGAAGAAGGCCUUCGGGUUGUAAAGCCCUUUUGUUGGGAAAGAAAAGCAGUAGGUUAAUACCUCGCUGUUCUGACGGUACCCAAAGAAUAAGCACCGGCUAACUUCGUG
Molecule: ribosomal RNA, 492 nt
Filed under: uncultured bacterium
Lineage: Bacteria
Description: partial 16S ribosomal RNA
Rfam family: Bacterial small subunit ribosomal RNA
Source: RNAcentral